CAGCAGCCACGGUAAUACGAAGGGUGCAAGCGUUACUCGGAAUUACUGGGCGUAAAGCGUGCGUAGGUGGUGGUUUAAGUCCGUUGUGAAAGCCCUGGGCCCAACCUGGGAAUUGCAGUGGAUACUGGGUCACUAGAGUGUGGUAGAGGAUAGUGGAAUUUCCGGUGUAGCAGUGAAAUGCGUAGAGAUCGGAAGGAACAUCUGUGGCGAAGGCAGCCCCCUGGGCCAACACUGACGCUCAUGCACGAAAGCGUGGGAGCAAACAGGAUUAGAUACCCCUGUAGUCCCUGUCUCUUAUACC
This 301-nucleotide ribosomal RNA is filed under the name uncultured bacterium. RNAcentral describes it as "partial 16S ribosomal RNA". It matches the Rfam family "Bacterial small subunit ribosomal RNA", at positions 509 to 808 of the family's 1533-position model. The record is from RNAcentral.